GCGAACGAUCUUGACACACAGGCGUAUCUUAGGCCGUGUGAAUAUUAGAGCUUAUUUUUUAUUUGUUUCAAAUGGCACACGGGCUGGGUGUGAGUACACGGCAUGGCCACAUGGCCAUGUGGCCCACAUGGCCAUGUAGCCUGGUUCAAGGCUAGGGUUUCCUUCUUUUUGUCUUCUAUUUUUUUUUCUUAUUCUUAUUUUAUUAUUAUUUUUUUCUUUUUUCUCCUUCUUUACAAGCCACUACUCACCAACCCCUCCAAAAAACCUUAGCCGCCGACCAUUUCAUCCCUGCGCCAUACCAGCCACCAGUCCCUUAUCCUUUUCAAUCUUUUCCCUCGUCGCUCCAUUCCUUCUGCCGCAAAAAACCCUCUUUGUUCAUCCACUGCUCUGCGUGAUCCCCUCCCUCCAUCUUCCUCAAAUGACUUCCCUCGCCGUCGAUGUCCCUCCCCCCUUGUUGGUUUGUGCACGCCACCGUCGUUCAAAGCCCAUGCCCGGGCAUUCUCAUCCCUUUUCCGAUCUCAACCACCACCCACGCACACACACAAUUCCCUUCUCCGUGGCUUUUUGACCACAGCCCUGUCUCCUCCAUUACUUUCCACCAUCACUCACACCUCAGAUCUACCUUCAACCACCACUGCUCGUGCCGACCACCGCGCUCUGAUGCCAUUUAUCCCUAUCGCCGCCUGUGCCACCAUUGUGUCGCUAUUUCACCGUUUCUGGUGAUUGUACAUUCGAAUAGGUGGCAAUGUUAUUACAUACUUGUCCUGCUGGAAUUUUCUGCAUGUUUGUUGGUUCCUUGCCAUGCGAACAUAUCUCGUUUCUCCCCUUCGCCACCAAGUCACCUUAAGGCUGCUUUUGCUGUUACUCUUGAGGAUCUCUCUGAACGGGUUGAUUGUUUCUAGUAGCAAUACUUUGAUCGGUUCGAUAGCAUUGACUCAGCUUUGCAUUAGAUUUGCCAGCACCUCCAUAUCUCUCAGCCUGAUCAUGCGCCUCACGACCCCGACACCUCUCAUGACGCCGAUCACUGACCUGAUUUCAUUUUAUUUACUUUAGUUAUUUUUAUUUUCGGUUCUACUUUUAUUUUUUUAUUUUUACUUGUGAGGUUUUUGGGCAAAUUGCACAUAAAAGCCCUAUUUUUUUAAAAUUUACCGAAAUGGGCCCGAUAUUUUAAUAUUUACCGGAAUGAGCCAUUUUUCCUAAAAUCGCGUCUACGUCAGCGCGAUGUCAGGGGAUAUGUCAACAAAUCGCGUCCACGUCAGCGCGAUUACUUACGUGGCAAUAAAUUGCGUCCACGUAAGCGCGAUUUGCUGACGUGGAAGCAAAGCGCGCUUACGUGGACGCAAUUUGCACCGCACGUGAACAGUAUCCACCGGUCAAAAAAUUGACCGUUUAUGUUUUUUAGCUUGGAAAACUUUGAAAUGUCAUAACUUGUCGCUCGAUUGUCCGAUUGAGACGAUUUUUUUUGAUUUCGAAUAACUUGUCCGAUUGAGGCGGUUUGCCGCAGUUUUCGUCGAAAAAGAUCUUUUUUUACCUCUAAAUUUUGAUUUUUUCGGUUUAAAAUUGAAUUUUGAAACAUUCAAAUCAUUAUUUUCCUUAUUUAUUUGAAGAAGACACCAGAUUUUUUUACAGAAUUGUUGUAUUAUUUUUUUUGAUUUGACACGUGUAUGAAAUAAGUCCAAUAAAUCGUUAGAACGUAAGUAAUAUAAUUAAGAUAAUAACAAGAUUUUUAUAAUAUGUCAAUUAAUUAGUUUAGCUUAGUUGAUUAUGAUGCUUGCUUUUUCCCUUAAUACAUUGGUUCAAAUCUUGUUGGUAAUAAUUUUGAAUCUUUUUUAUACUUGUUGCAUUUAUUUUUUAAUCAAUUAACUCUUCAAUAUUACAUUAAUAUAUAUUAUUAGUAUAAUAGUAUAGACGGAUUGACAAUUUGAGCUACAAUAUUAUGAAUAUUAACUACAAUAUAUAAUUUGAGCUACAUAUUAUAGUAAUACAUAUUGGGGCAAAAUACUAAAAAAACCCUAUUUUUUUAAAAAUUUAUCGAAAUGGGCCCGAUAUUUUAUUAUUUACCGGAAUGGGUCAUUUUCCCCGAAAUCGCGUCCACAUCAGCGCGAUGUGUCAGCAAAUCGCGUCUCGUAGGCGCGAUUUGUGUCCACAUAAGCAAAGCGCUCUGACGUGGACGCGAUUUGCUGACACAUCCCCUGACAUCGCGCUGACGUGGACGUGAUUUCGGGGAAAAUGGCACAUUCCGGUAAAUAAUAAAAUACGGGGCCCAUUUCGGUAAAUUUUAAAAAAAUAGGACUUUUUUUGGUAUUUUGCCCGAGACUUUUAUUAUAUUUUUUUUGAACUCUGUUGUUAUUUUUAUUAUUUUGAUGGUUGUUUUUGUUCGAGUUUGUAAUCUCAUUAUCUUCUUAUUUAUUUUUGUUUAUCUUCUUGUUAGUUUGCUCGGAAACAUACACUUCAUUUAAAAUUACCCACGAUUUAGAUUUUCACUCUUCUGGCAAUUUCAUUCCAAUCAGGGCAAUGUCAGUUCUCUCUAUCCCUUAUGAUAUUGUGCUUAUUAUGUGAUCAUAAUUGUUUGUACAUUGAGGGCAAUGUACAUCUUAAGUGUGGGGAGAAUUUUAUAUGUUUAUGUGAUAUAGCCCCUGAAUUAUUGUUUGUGUUUAAGUAGUUUUCUAGAACCUAACAUUGAAGUAAUUUAUUUUAAUUUGGAGUUUUUAUUGAUUCAA
This is a long non-coding RNA of Gossypium raimondii (Peruvian cotton), 2720 nucleotides long. RefSeq lists it as uncharacterized. NCBI's taxonomy places the organism in Eukaryota, Viridiplantae, Streptophyta, Magnoliopsida, Malvales, Malvaceae. The transcript is spliced from 2 exons. The record is from RefSeq and is a predicted model, not a curated record.